Molecule: non-coding RNA, 45 nt
Filed under: Schistosoma mattheei
Lineage: Eukaryota; Metazoa; Platyhelminthes; Trematoda; Strigeidida; Schistosomatidae
Source: RNAcentral
AUCUAGUUGACGAGCCCUAAAUAGGAUGAAACGUGCGUCCUGGAC